GGGUUGUGAGGUUAAGCGACUAAGCGUACACGGUGGAUGCCCUGGCAGUCAGAGGCGAUGAAGGGCGUGCUAAUCUGCGAUAAGCGCCGGUAAGGUGAUAUGAACCGUUAUAACCGGCGAUACCCGAAUGGGGAAACCCAGUGUGAUUCGUCACACUAUCAUUAACUGAAUCCAUAGGUUAAUGAGGCGAACCGGGGGAACUGAAACAUCUAAGUACCCCGAGGAAAAGAAAUCAACCGAGAUUCCCCCAGUAGCGGCGAGCGAACGGGGAGGAGCCCAGAGCCUGAAUCAGCAUGUGUGUUAGUGGAAGCGUCUGGAAAGGCGCGCGAUACAGGGUGACAGCCCCGUACACAAAAGCGCAUGUGCUGUGAGCUCGAUGAGUAGGGCGGGACACGUGGUAUCCUGUCUGAAUAUGGGGGGACCAUCCUCCAAGGCUAAAUACUCCUGACUGACCGAUAGUGAACCAGUACCGUGAGGGAAAGGCGAAAAGAACCCCGGCGAGGGGAGUGAAAAAGAACCUGAAACCGUGUACGUACAAGCAGUGGGAGCACNNNNNNNNNNNNNNNNNNNNNUACCUUUUGUAUAAUGGGUCAGCGACUUAUAUUCUGUAGCAAGGUUAACCGAAUAGGGGAGCCGGAGGGAAACCGAGUCUUAAUUGGGCGUUAAGUUGCAGGGUAUAGACCCGAAACCCGGUGAUCUAGCCAUGGGCAGGUUGAAGGUUGGGUAACACUAACUGGAGGACCGAACCGACUAAUGUUGAAAAAUUAGCGGAUGACCUGUGGCUGGGGGUGAAAGGCCAAUCAAACCGGGAGAUAGCUGGUUCUCCCCGAAAGCUAUUUAGGUAGCGCCUCGUGAAUUCAUCUCCGGGGGUAGAGCACUGUUUCGGCUAGGGGGCCAUCCCGGCUUACCAACCCGAUGCAAACUGCGAAUACCGGAGAAUGUUAUCACGGGAGACACACGGCGGGUGCUAACGUCCGUCGUGAAGAGGGAAACAACCCAGACCGCCAGCUAAGGUCCCAAAGUCAUGGUUAAGUGGGAAACGAUGUGGGAAGGCCCAGACAGCCAGGAUGUUGGCUUAGAAGCAGCCAUCAUUUAAAGAAAGCGUAAUAGCUCACUGGUCGAGUCGGCCUGCGCGGAAGAUGUAACGGGGCUAAACCAUGCACCGAAGCUGCGGCAGCGACACUGUGUGUUGUUGGGUAGGGGAGCGUUCUGUAAGCCUGUGAAGGUGUGUCGUGAGGCAUGCUGGAGGUAUCAGAAGUGCGAAUGCUGACAUAAGUAACGAUAAAGCGGGUGAAAAGCCCGCUCGCCGGAAGACCAAGGGUUCCUGUCCAACGUUAAUCGGGGCAGGGUGAGUCGACCCCUAAGGCGAGGCCGAAAGGCGUAGUCGAUGGGAAACGGGUUAAUAUUCCCGUACUUGGUGUUACUGCGAAGGGGGGACGGAGAAGGCUAUGUUGGCCGGGCGACGGUUGUCCCGGUUUAAGCGUGUAGGUGUGUGUUCCAGGUAAAUCCGGUUCACUUUAACACUGAGGCGUGACGACGAGGCACUACGGUGCUGAAGCAACAAAUGCCCUGCUUCCAGGAAAAGCCUCUAAGCAUCAGGUAACAUCAAAUCGUACCCCAAACCGACACAGGUGGUCAGGUAGAGAAUACCAAGGCGCUUGAGAGAACUCGGGUGAAGGAACUAGGCAAAAUGGUGCCGUAACUUCGGGAGAAGGCACGCUGACACGUAGGUGAAGUGAUUUACUCAUGGAGCUGAAGUCAGUCGAAGAUACCAGCUGGCUGCAACUGUUUAUUAAAAACACAGCACUGUGCAAACACGAAAGUGGACGUAUACGGUGUGACGCCUGCCCGGUGCCGGAAGGUUAAUUGAUGGGGUCAGCGCAAGCGAAGCUCCUGAUCGAAGCCCCGGUAAACGGCGGCCGUAACUAUAACGGUCCUAAGGUAGCGAAAUUCCUUGUCGGGUAAGUUCCGACCUGCACGAAUGGCGUAAUGAUGGCCAGGCUGUCUCCACCCGAGACUCAGUGAAAUUGAACUCGCUGUGAAGAUGCAGUGUACCCGCGGCAAGACGGAAAGACCCCGUGAACCUUUACUAUAGCUUGACACUGAACAUUGAGCCUUGAUGUGUAGGAUAGGUGGGAGGCUUUGAAGUGUGGACGCCAGUCUGCAUGGAGCCGACCUUGAAAUACCACCCUUUAAUGUUUGAUGUUCUAACGUGGACCCGUUACCCGGGUUGCGGACAGUGUCUGGUGGGUAGUUUGACUGGGGCGGUCUCCUCCUAAAGAGUAACGGAGGAGCACGAAGGUUGGCUAAUCCUGGUCGGACAUCAGGAGGUUAGUGCAAUGGCAUAAGCCAGCUUGACUGCGAGCGUGACGGCGCGAGCAGGUGCGAAAGCAGGUCAUAGUGAUCCGGUGGUUCUGAAUGGAAGGGCCAUCGCUCAACGGAUAAAAGGUACUCCGGGGAUAACAGGCUGAUACCGCCCAAGAGUUCAUAUCGACGGCGGUGUUUGGCACCUCGAUGUCGGCUCAUCACAUCCUGGGGCUGAAGUAGGUCCCAAGGGUAUGGCUGUUCGCCAUUUAAAGUGGUACGCGAGCUGGGUUUAGAACGUCGUGAGACAGUUCGGUCCCUAUCUGCCGUGGGCGCUGGAGAACUGAGGGGGGCUGCUCCUAGUACGAGAGGACCGGAGUGGACGCAUCACUGGUGUUCGGGUUGUCAUGCCAAUGGCACUGCCCGGUAGCUAAAUGCGGAAGAGAUAAGUGCUGAAAGCAUCUAAGCACGAAACUUGCCCCGAGAUGAGUUCUCCCUGAGACUUAGAGUCUCCUGAAGGAACGUUGAAGACGACGACGUUGAUAGGCCGGGUGUGUAAGCGCAGCGAUGCGUUGAGCUAACCGGUACUAAUGAACCGUGAGGCUUAACCUUACAACGCCGAAG
Molecule: ribosomal RNA, 2928 nt
Filed under: Salmonella enterica subsp. enterica serovar Enteritidis str. EC20120776
Lineage: Bacteria; Pseudomonadati; Pseudomonadota; Gammaproteobacteria; Enterobacterales; Enterobacteriaceae
Description: bacterial LSU rRNA
Rfam family: Bacterial large subunit ribosomal RNA
Source: RNAcentral